RNAcentral lists this ribosomal RNA (1652 nucleotides) under Escherichia coli. RNAcentral's name for it is "partial 23S ribosomal RNA". It matches the Rfam family "Bacterial large subunit ribosomal RNA", at positions 1291 to 2925 of the family's 2925-position model. The record is from RNAcentral. Lineage: Bacteria; Pseudomonadati; Pseudomonadota; Gammaproteobacteria; Enterobacterales; Enterobacteriaceae.
CGAAUGCUGACAUAAGUAACGAUAAAGCGGGUGAAAAGCCCGCUCGCCGGAAGACCAAGGGUUCCUGUCCAACGUUAAUCGGGGCAGGGUGAGUCGACCCCUAAGGCGAGGCCGAAAGGCGUAGUCGAUGGGAAACAGGUUAAUAUUCCUGUACUUGGUGUUACUGCGAAGGGGGGACGGAGAAGGCUAUGUUGGCCGGGCGACGGUUGUCCCGGUUUAAGCGUGUAGGCUGGUUUUCCAGGCAAAUCCGGAAAAUCAAGGCUGAGGCGUGAUGACGAGGCACUACGGUGCUGAAGCAACAAAUGCCCUGCUUCCAGGAAAAGCCUCUAAGCAUCAGGUAACAUCAAAUCGUACCCCAAACCGACACAGGUGGUCAGGUAGAGAAUACCAAGGCGCUUGAGAGAACUCGGGUGAAGGAACUAGGCAAAAUGGUGCCGUAACUUCGGGAGAAGGCACGCUGAUAUGUAGGUGAAGUCCCUCGCGGAUGGAGCUGAAAUCAGUCGAAGAUACCAGCUGGCUGCAACUGUUUAUUAAAAACACAGCACUGUGCAAACACGAAAGUGGACGUAUACGGUGUGACGCCUGCCCGGUGCCGGAAGGUUAAUUGAUGGGGUCAGCGCAAGCGAAGCUCUUGAUCGAAGCCCCGGUAAACGGCGGCCGUAACUAUAACGGUCCUAAGGUAGCGAAAUUCCUUGUCGGGUAAGUUCCGACCUGCACGAAUGGCGUAAUGAUGGCCAGGCUGUCUCCACCCGAGACUCAGUGAAAUUGAACUCGCUGUGAAGAUGCAGUGUACCCGCGGCAAGACGGAAAGACCCCGUGAACCUUUACUAUAGCUUGACACUGAACAUUGAGCCUUGAUGUGUAGGAUAGGUGGGAGGCUUUGAAGUGUGGACGCCAGUCUGCAUGGAGCCGACCUUGAAAUACCACCCUUUAAUGUUUGAUGUUCUAACGUGGACCCGUGAUCCGGGUUGCGGACAGUGUCUGGUGGGUAGUUUGACUGGGGCGGUCUCCUCCUAAAGAGUAACGGAGGAGCACGAAGGUUGGCUAAUCCUGGUCGGACAUCAGGAGGUUAGUGCAAUGGCAUAAGCCAGCUUGACUGCGAGCGUGACGGCGCGAGCAGGUGCGAAAGCAGGUCAUAGUGAUCCGGUGGUUCUGAAUGGAAGGGCCAUCGCUCAACGGAUAAAAGGUACUCCGGGGAUAACAGGCUGAUACCGCCCAAGAGUUCAUAUCGACGGCGGUGUUUGGCACCUCGAUGUCGGCUCAUCACAUCCUGGGGCUGAAGUAGGUCCCAAGGGUAUGGCUGUUCGCCAUUUAAAGUGGUACGCGAGCUGGGUUUAGAACGUCGUGAGACAGUUCGGUCCCUAUCUGCCGUGGGCGCUGGAGAACUGAGGGGGGCUGCUCCUAGUACGAGAGGACCGGAGUGGACGCAUCACUGGUGUUCGGGUUGUCAUGCCAAUGGCACUGCCCGGUAGCUAAAUGCGGAAGAGAUAAGUGCUGAAAGCAUCUAAGCACGAAACUUGCCCCGAGAUGAGUUCUCCCUGACCCUUUAAGGGUCCUGAAGGAACGUUGAAGACGACGACGUUGAUAGGCCGGGUGUGUAAGCGCAGCGAUGCGUUGAGCUAACCGGUACUAAUGAACCGUGAGGCUUAACC